This 497-nucleotide ribosomal RNA is filed under the name uncultured bacterium. RNAcentral's name for it is "partial 16S ribosomal RNA". It matches the Rfam family "Bacterial small subunit ribosomal RNA", at positions 28 to 507 of the family's 1533-position model. The record is from RNAcentral.
GAUGAACGCUGGCGGCGUGCCUAAUACAUGCAAGUCGAGCGAACGGACGAGAAGCUUGCUUCUCUGAUGUUAGCGGCGGCCAGGUGAGUAACAAGUGGAUAACCUACCUAUAAGACUGGGAUAACUUCGGGAAACCGUAGCUAAUACCGGAUAAUAUUUUGAACCGCAUGGUUCAAAAGUGAAAGACGGUCUUGCUGUCACUUAUAGAUGGAUCCGCGCUGCAUUAGCUAGUUGGUAAGGUAACGGCUUACCAAGGCAACGAUGCAUAGCCGACCUGAGAGGGUGAUCGGCCACACUGGAACUGAGACACGGUCCAGACUCCUACGGGAGGCAGCAGUAGGGAAUCUUCCGCCAUGGGCGAAAGCCUGACGGAGCAACGCCGCGUGAGUGAUGAAGGUCUUCGGAUCGUAAAACUCUGUUAUUAGGGAAGAACAUAUGUGUAAGUAACUGUGCACAUCUUGACGGUACCUAAUCAGAAAGCCACGGCUAACUACGUG